CGAGAGGGGGCAAGCGUUGUUCGGAAUUACUGGGCGUAAAGGGCGCGUAGGCGGCCUGCUAAGUCGAACGUGAAAUCCCCGGGCUCAACCCGGGAACUGCGUCCGAUACUGGCAGGCUUGAAUCCGGGAGAGGGAUGUGGAAUUCCAGGUGUAGCGGUGAAAUGCGUAGAUAUCUGGAGGAACACCGGUGGCGAAGGCGGCAUCCUGGACCGGUAUUGACACUGAUGCGCGAAAGCCAGGGGAGCAAACGGGAUUAGAUACCCCGGUAGUCCUGGCCCUAAACGAUGAAUGCUUGGUGUGGCGGGUAUCGAUCCCUGCCGUGCCGAAGCUAACGCAUUAAGCAUUCCGCCUGGGGAGUACGGUCGCAAGGCUG
This 373-nucleotide ribosomal RNA is filed under the name uncultured organism. Its description in RNAcentral is "bacterial SSU rRNA". It matches the Rfam family "Bacterial small subunit ribosomal RNA", at positions 525 to 896 of the family's 1533-position model. The record is from RNAcentral.